RNAcentral lists this ribosomal RNA (253 nucleotides) under uncultured bacterium. Its description in RNAcentral is "partial 16S ribosomal RNA". It matches the Rfam family "Bacterial small subunit ribosomal RNA", at positions 524 to 776 of the family's 1533-position model. The record is from RNAcentral.
UACGUAGGGCGCAAGCGUUGUCCGGAAUUAUUGGGCGUAAAGAGCUCGUAGGCGGCUUGUCACGUCGGGUGUGAAAGCCCGGGGCUUAACCCCGGGUCUGCAUUCGAUACGGGCUAGCUAGAGUGUGGUAGGGGAGAGUGGAAUUCCUGGUGUAGCGGUGAAAUGCGCAGAUAUCAGGAAGAACACCCGUGGCUAAGGCGGCUCUCUAGUACGGUACUGACGCUGAGACGCGAAAGCGUGGGGAGCAAACAGG